CUUGGUGGCUCCUGGGUGGGGGUUGAGGGCUAGAAAGACCCAGACAUGAUUAGAAGCCUGGAGCUUUCAGCUCCACCCACCACUCUCCAGGCAGGGGAGAGGGGCUGGAGACUGAGCUAAUAACCGGAUUUGCCUCCAUGAUGAAGCCUGAACUACAGGUGCAGAGAGCUUCCAGAUGUUUAUCCACAAGGACAAAGAGAACAGGACAGGAGACGAUGGAAAUAAGAUUUGAGAAGCAGAAAGAGACACGCAGCACCUGACCCGGCAGCUCUGAGAAAGAUGAAUCAGAACAGUCUGUUUGCUGGCCUUUUGGGUUUCCUCUUCUAAGAAGUAACUCUUCAGAGUCUUUCCUUAUUUUUCUAUUGGAUGUACUCCUGGUCAUAAUUUAAACAACGAUCUUCUCUCAUCUUGA
Macaca mulatta (Rhesus monkey) is the source of this 412-nucleotide non-coding RNA. Lineage: Eukaryota; Metazoa; Chordata; Mammalia; Primates; Cercopithecidae. The record is from RefSeq and is a predicted model, not a curated record.